UUUUCCGGCGGUUUUGAAAACCCCAGAAAAGUUCCGGCGGUUAUAAGCGAAACCGCCCCUAAAUUAUUUUUUUUAUUUUUUAAAUAAUUUUCCAAAAAUAUCUACCUCAUGAUUCCCCUUCUCCUAAAAUACUUCGCGACACAUUUUUGCUCUUAAUUUUUCCUUAACCCUAAUUCUCUCUCAAUUCAUUUUUGCCUUCGUACAUUUUUCUCCAAAAAGUUCAGCAUAAUCAUUUUCUUCCAAGCCCCGCACCAUCUUUUUGUUGGUCUUCCCCUGUGUUGUGUUCGUCGUCGAGGCGUUAUGGCUGCGUAGGUCGUGUUCGCUCUCGGAAUUCCUCACAUCUGCGUAGGUCACUUUAUUUUCAUUUCAUUCCAUUCAUUGAUUCAGGGAAGAGCACGAUUACAGGUUCACUGUGUUCAAGGCUAACUUGUGUCGUGCUCGGCGCCACCAGAGCUUGGAUCCUUCCGCGGUUCACGGCGUGACUCAGUUCUCCGACCUUACGCCGACAGAGUUCCGAAAUAAGUUUUUUGGCCUGUGAGGUGUGAGGUUGCCCUACGAUGCGGAAAAAGCUCCCAUUCUCCCCACCGAUAAUCUUUCGAGUGAUUUUGAUUGGAGAGAUAACGGUGCAGUUACCGCUGUCAAGAAUCAGGGUUCAUGUGGUUCAUGUUAGAGCUUCAGCGCUACUAGGGCUCUGGAAGGGGCUCACUUUCUGGAAACAGGGGAACUUGUGAGUCUUAGUGAGCAGCAGCUUGUUGAUUGUGAUCAUGAGGGAACUUGUCUCGAAAAAUCUCUAGUGCAAGCUCCCUUGGAAGCUUGGAAGAGAGCCACUUUCUGCAAGCAUCGUUGUACUCAUCUGAUAGUAUUUCUGAUAGAAGAAACCCAGGAGAACUAAGUAUGAG
Non-coding RNA from Vigna umbellata (rice bean), 899 nucleotides. NCBI's taxonomy places the organism in Eukaryota, Viridiplantae, Streptophyta, Magnoliopsida, Fabales, Fabaceae. The record is from RefSeq and is a predicted model, not a curated record.